RNAcentral lists this ribosomal RNA (253 nucleotides) under uncultured bacterium. RNAcentral's name for it is "partial 16S ribosomal RNA". It matches the Rfam family "Bacterial small subunit ribosomal RNA", at positions 524 to 776 of the family's 1533-position model. The record is from RNAcentral.
UACGGAGGGUGCAAGCGUUAUCCGGAUUCACUGGGUUUAAAGGGUGCGUAGGUGGGCAAGUAAGUCAGUGGUGAAAUCUCCGGGCUUAACCCGGUAACUGCCAUUGAUACUAUUUGUCUUGAAUACUGUGGAGGUCAGCGGAAUAUGUCAUGUAGCGGUGAAAUGCUUAGAUAUGACAUAGAACACCAAUUGCGAAGGCAGCUGGCUACACAAAUAUUGACACUGAGGCACGAAAGCGUGGGUAGCAAACAGG